CGUCCAUCAAGUUCAGCUUUCCUCACAUUUGUUUUUUGCUGUUGAUCCAAAAGAAGGCAAAAAAAUUUUUGCAACAAGCUAGGAAAUAUUUUUCCUUCUUGACCCCAAAAUGGCAGUCAGAUCAAUCCUUGGAUCAAGCAGUUAUUACCUUACAUUGAAAAAUUAUAUAAUUGAAUAUUCUGUUUUUGCAAGUAUGCAUCUAGUAGCUGUUUGAACAUCUGUAUGGACUCUGAUAAAACCACUUCUUCAGGCAGAUAAUUCCACAUUCUUAUUGUUGUAAAAAACCAAAAAAAUGUUCCUUUGCCUUAGACGAAAUCUUUCUUCCAGUCUAGACCUCAUGUUCUAUGUAAAAUCCGGUUUGUGAAUAGAUUUCCACACAAUGGUUUGUAUUGGCCCAGAAUAUAUUUGUAUAAUGUUAUCAUUUGUGUUAACCUUUCUUCACAGCUGAUAUGUUAUUAUUAUUAUACAGCUGAUAUGUUCCAUUCCUUUUAUUAAUUUUGUAGCCUCUGCACUUUUUCUAGUGCCAUAAUAUCCUUCUUUAGAACAGGUGCUCAAAAUUUCACAGCAUAUUCAAUAUGUGGUCUUACCAGUGAUUUAGAAAGAGGCAAAAUGAUAUUCUCGUCCUGAGAAUGAAUGUCCUUUUUCAUGCAUGACAAUAC
Molecule: non-coding RNA, 659 nt
Organism: Pelobates cultripes (western spadefoot toad)
Lineage: Eukaryota; Metazoa; Chordata; Amphibia; Anura; Pelobatidae
Source: the annotation of a GenBank genome assembly